Molecule: long non-coding RNA, 597 nt
Filed under: Dasypus novemcinctus (nine-banded armadillo)
Lineage: Eukaryota; Metazoa; Chordata; Mammalia; Cingulata; Dasypodidae
Description: lncRNA (ENSDNOG00000049926.1)
Source: RNAcentral
AUGGAGCUUGCUGGGCUCUGGGAUCUGCAUGUACAUGUAGGAGGUGAGCCACAGAGGGGAAGCAAAACGAUCCUUCUACUGCUAUGGGCCUGGCAGUUGAAGAUCAGCAACCCAUUACCCCAGCUCCCCUUUGGCCCUGGAGCAGCCCAGGCUCCUUGGAGGGGAUGUCAUCCACUCCUGGCCACUGGGCCUGGACCUACCCAAGCCACUCCUGAGACUGAGAGGCUUUCAGGCCUGCCUUCAGCUCCCCCUGUAAAGCCCAGAAGAUUUAGCAUCUAGAUGGGACAAUUCUACCAGGAUGGAACCACAUCCAUCCAAGGCUGGUCUCAGGCCUCCAUCUGAUUCCACUGAAGGAAGUUGCCACCCAUGUAUGUGCACAUAAUUCCUGAAGACAAGAGUUACAGUGUGAAGGAAUUGAAUGAGAUUCUAUUGGAAAAACCCUGUCAUGUUUUAUCUUAAACUUUCUAUUCAUUUUUUUGGUAGAGGUGGGGGGUGUGACUUUUAUUAUAAUUUUUUUGUAGUGUUUUCGUGAACUAAGGGGCUCAUUAAAAUUUUUCCUAUGUAGACUUGUGCUCUCUCUUCCUUAAAUAUUCUUUA